AUGUAUUUGUUUGUGGCGGUUUCUCACAGAAUCAUUUCCUGGUCCUGCUCCACCAGCGACGUCUGUCAGAACAACACAGCGGCAAACUUCCACACCAGGCGGUGUCCAGAUCACCAUGUCAAAUGUCUGUGGAGUUCAGAUCGGCAACAACAACAUCAUGAAUAUUGUUCAGAAACCGGGCCAGAGACACUGAACGGCUCCUUCCAGAGUUGGCUCGUCUUAUUCCCGUUCAGAGAACUCCCCGAAAAAACCCCAGUGACCUCUUCACACUCUCUUAUGCAGGAAUCAGCUCUUGUUCAGUGUUAUAAGUUGCAAACUAUACCUGUGUGCCAAAGGGAAACAGACUUUCAGUGGAGUUGGACACUCAAAAAAUAUCCAUGCCAAUUUGAUGUGUUUGAAUUGCUUAUAAAAUGUCCAUCCAUUUGGAUUACACAGUUUUAACAUUAACUUAUACAUUUAAUGUAAUGCAUGUUUUUUUCAGUCAUACAUUAACAAAGCAGGUCAAAUUAAUAAUAAUGUUUUUGUUACUUGAAAUAAACAUUAUAUAUAUAUAUAUAUAUAUAUAUAUAUAUAUAUAUUAUAGCUUAAACAUUGAGUAAAAAAUAAUUAAAAUACAUAUAAAAAUGUAAAUGUAAAUUAUUCUAGUUCUCAAUUCCAUUUAGUAUAACCUGAUGUAGUUAACACUAAAACUGAGACAUAUAAAUUAGUGACCAAUUCUCAAGACCGCAGACUGAGGAUAACUUCACAACGACUAAUGCACACUCUCUCUCCUCCUCUCGACUCUCAGAGACUGACGUUUCCAAACUUUCCAAACUAACUAUCCUUUCCAAUCAUCAGAAUAACCUCCUGGACAGCAACCAAUCUGGCUUCAAAUGUGGCCAUGCUCUCAGUUACUGAACCCCUACGACUGGCAAGAACAGCUUCAAAAUCCUCAGUACUCAUCUUACUGGACCUGCCCUUACGAAAAAUAACCAUGGUUUUAUUAUAGUAAAACUGUAGUAACCCAUGGUUUUUUGGCGUAUUGACUGCCAUUUGUAAAACCACAGAUUUACUACAAAUACCAUGGUAAAACUAUGGUUAAUAUAGCAAAACCAUGGUUAAUUUGUGGUUACCAUGGUUUAACUACAGUAACCAUGGUUUUUUGGUUUUAUUUGUAGUAAAACCAUGGUUAAUUUUCGUAAGGGUGUCUGCUGCUUUUGACAACGCUAAUCACCAGAUUCUCCUGUCCACCCUCAGAAAGAUGGGCAUCUCUGGAACCACACUCCUGUGGUUUAAGUGCUACCUCUCCGAUAGAUCCUUCAGUGUGUCUUGGAGGGGUGAAGUUUCUAAGUCACAACUACUUGGUACUGGGGUUCCUCAAGGCUCAGUACUUGGACCACUUCUCUUCUCCAUCUACAUGGCAUAAUUAGGAUAUGUCAUUCAGAAGCAUGGCUUUGCCUAUAACUGCUACGCUGAAGACACUUAACUCUACUUCUCAUUCCAACCAGAUGACCCGACGGUAGUUGUUCACAUAGAGUGACAUUUCUAGCUGGAUGAAUGACCAUCACCUUCAGCUCAAGCUUACUAAGACAGAAGUGCGGGCGGUUCCAGCUAACCCAUCGUUUCAUCACAACUUCUCUAUACAGCUGGGUUCAUCAACCAUAACUCCCUCCAGGACAGACAUAAACCUAGGAGUUGUGAUGGAUCAUCAGUUAAGCAGUUAAGCCAAUUAGAAUCUCCCUUGACUUCAGUGAGCCAGACGAACAGGGUAACCACAUCAAACAUUAAACAACGAUCUCACAAACACAAGAUGUGAGACAAGCCAUUAUAUAGUGGAUGAGUAAUGAGUGGCAGCUGUUGCUGAUACAAUUAACGGAGACGCCCACAACUUAUCAGUGCAGAGGCGGGACACACAGAAUUCACCACAAAGUGUAAACAUCUCGAGAUCAUGGUUUACAAAAAUCGGUCAUAUGAAACCUGAUGGUAAAACAAGUAGUAUAUUUGAUGAUAAUGAUGUUUGUAACUAUUGUCAUGAACAGGGUCAUUGGAAGGUGGAUUGUGCUGUAUUAAAGGCUAAAACAAAGGGAAUGAAAACUAAUAUUAGACCUAUAACAUUUGCUGCAAAUGUAAAAACUGACUUGGUUUAUGAGGUAUGUUCACCACUCAUUUGUGAAGUGGAUGUUUUGGCAGCUUAUUCUCCUUUCAUUCGAGAUGGGUCUGUAUCACUGGUAGGCAGUGAUGUGAAAAUCCCAUUAAAGAUCUUGAGGGAUACGGGGGCUUAUAACUACUACACUGUGAGCUCUGCGUUGCCUUUUUCAGGGGACACAGAUACUGG
Molecule: long non-coding RNA, 2314 nt
Organism: Carassius auratus (goldfish)
Lineage: Eukaryota; Metazoa; Chordata; Actinopteri; Cypriniformes; Cyprinidae
Source: Ensembl